RNAcentral lists this unclassified non-coding RNA (211 nucleotides) under Hevea brasiliensis (rubber tree). The record is from RNAcentral. Lineage: Eukaryota; Viridiplantae; Streptophyta; Magnoliopsida; Malpighiales; Euphorbiaceae.
AAUUGAACUCAUCAAUGACGCUGAACGCCUUCCCGGCGCCGGCGGCCGAGCGGGCCGCCGCCGGCCGGGAAUCGGGAUCGGCGGCGGUCGCCGCCUGGGCCUGGGCGAGCCAGUCGCUGGUGACGACGGCGUGGUGCUCGGCGCGGGUCUGGUAAUAGGCGGACAUUGAGGGGUUAGGGUUAGGGUUUUGGAGGUCCAUGGUGAGGUUUGA